Molecule: ribosomal RNA, 542 nt
Filed under: uncultured bacterium
Lineage: Bacteria
Description: bacterial SSU rRNA
Rfam family: Bacterial small subunit ribosomal RNA
Source: RNAcentral
UGGGGAAUCUUGGACAAUGGGGCAACCCUGAUCCAGCCAUGCCGCGUGAGUGAUGAAGGCCUUAGGGUCGUAAAGCUCUUUCGCCUGUGAAGAUAAUGACGGUAACCGUAGAAGAAGCCCCGGCUAACUUCGUGCCAGCAGCCGCGGUAAUACGAAGGGGGCUAGCGUUGUUCGGAAUUACUGGGCGUAAAGCGCGCGUAGGCGGACUGAUCAGUCAGGGGUGAAAUCCCGGGGCUCAACCCCGGAACUGCCUCCAAAACUAUUGGUCUAGAGUUCGAGAGAGGUGAGUGGAAUUCCAAGUGUAGAGGUGAAAUUCGUAGAUAUUUGGAGGAACACCAGUGGCGAAGGCGGCUCACUGGCUCGAUACUGACGCUGAGGUGCGAAAGUGUGGGGAGCAAACAGGAUUAGAUACCCUGGUAGUCCACGCCGUAAACGGUGGGCGCUAGGUGUGGGGAUCGUUUCCACGAUCUCCGUGCCGUAGCUAACGCAUUAAGCGCCCCGCCUGGGAGUACGGCCGCAAGGCUAAAACUCAAAUGAAUUGA